This 417-nucleotide long non-coding RNA is filed under the name Homo sapiens (human). RNAcentral's name for it is "IFT74 antisense RNA 1 (IFT74-AS1)". Lineage: Eukaryota; Metazoa; Chordata; Mammalia; Primates; Hominidae. The record is from RNAcentral.
CGCGAGAAUUGAGGAUAUGUUUGUUUCUUCACCACGCUUCAGUGCUUUUUGGAAAAAGUGGAAAACAGCGGGGCGGCUGGAAGACAAACAUUUUAUGUGAACGUUUGGUUUUCUUGAUAAUCAGAGCAACCUCCGUGUGCCUUACUUGAAGUAACUCUAGCGAGUUUUGCUAUGUCCCUAGGACGGCAUAGCGUACACAACGCAUCAUGAAGUAUGGAUGCGAUUCUGGCACCAACUGUUCCGUUCCUGCUUUCACCAGAAGCUUUGCGUCUUUAAGCUUCCUUUCAUUAGAAUUUGGAUCCAAGUUUGUGGGGAAGACUGUGAAUUCAAUGGAAAGUGUCCUUUUUUUUUUUUUUUUUAAUUUAAGAACUACUUCACCUUAAAUCCCACUUCUCUAAUAAAAUAACUUUUACUGUA